CAGGCUUAACACAUGCAAGUCGAGGGGCAGCAUGGUCUUAGCUUGCUAAGGCCGAUGGCGACCGGCGCACGGGUGAGUAACACGUAUCCAACCUGCCGUCUACUCUUGGACAGCCUUCUGAAAGGAAGAUUAAUACAAGAUGGCAUCAUGAGUCCACAUGUUCACAUGAUUAAAGGUAUUCCGGUAGACGAUGGGGAUGCGUUCCAUUAGAUAGUAGGCGGGGUAACGGCCCACCUAGUCUUCGAUGGAUAGGGGUUCUGAGAGGAAGGUCCCCCACAUUGGAACUGAGACACGGUCCAAACUCCUACGGGAGGCAGCAGUGAGGAAUAUUGGUCAAUGGGCGAGAGCCUGAACCAGCCAAGUAGCGUGAAGGAUGACUGCCCUAUGGGUUGUAAACUUCUUUUAUAAAGGAAUAAAGUCGGGUAUGGAUACCCGUUUGCAUGUACUUUAUGAAUAAGGAUCGGCUAACUCCGUGCCAGCAGCCGCGGUAAUACGGAGGAUCCGAGCGUUAUCCGGAUUUAUUGGGUUUAAAGGGAGCGUAGAUGGAUGUUUAAGUCAGUUGUGAAAGUUUGCGGCUCAACCGUAAAAUUGCAGUUGAUACUGGCUAUCUUGAGUGCAGUUGAGGCAGGCGGAAUUCGUGGUGUAGCGGUGAAAUGCUUAGAUAUCACGAAGAACUCCGAUUGCGAAGGCAGCCUGCUAAGCUGCAACUGACAUUGAGGCUCGAAAGUGUGGGUAUCAAACAGGAUUAGAUACCCUGGUAGUCCACACGGUAAACGAUGAAUACUCGCUGUUUGCGAUAUACAGCAAGCGGCCAAGCGAAAGCGUUAAGUAUUCCACCUGGGGAGUACGCCGGCAACGGUGAAACUCAAAGGAAUUGACGGGGGCCCGCACAAGCGGAGGAACAUGUGGUUUAAUUCGAUGAUACGCGAGGAACCUUACCCGGGCUUAAAUUGCAGAUGAAUUACGGUGAAAGCCGUAAGCCGCAAGGCAUCUGUGAAGGUGCUGCAUGGUUGUCGUCAGCUCGUGCCGUGAGGUGUCGGCUUAAGUGCCAUAACGAGCGCAACCCUUGUUGUCAGUUACUAACAGGUUCCGCUGAGGACUCUGACAAGACUGCCAUCGUAAGAUGUGAGGAAGGUGGGGAUGACGUCAAAUCAGCACGGCCCUUACGUCCGGGGCUACACACGUGUUACAAUGGGGGGUACAGAGGGCCGCUACCACGCGAGUGGAUGCCAAUCCCAAAAACCUCUCUCAGUUCGGACUGGAGUCUGCAACCCGACUCCACGAAGCUGGAUUCGCUAGUAAUCGCGCAUCAGCCACGGCGCGGUGAAUACGUUCCCGGGCCUUGUACACACCGCCCGUCAAGCCAUGGGAGCCGGGGGUACCUGAAGUGCGUAACCGCGAGGAGCGCCCUAGGGUAAAACUGGUGACUGGGGCUAAGUC
Molecule: ribosomal RNA, 1440 nt
Filed under: uncultured organism
Description: 16S ribosomal RNA
Rfam family: Bacterial small subunit ribosomal RNA
Source: RNAcentral